Molecule: ribosomal RNA, 484 nt
Filed under: uncultured Glomeromycotina
Lineage: Eukaryota; Fungi; Glomeromycota
Description: SSU rRNA
Rfam family: Eukaryotic small subunit ribosomal RNA
Source: RNAcentral
AGCGUAUAUUAAAGUUGUUGCAGUUAAAAAGCUCGUAGUUGAAUUUCGGGGUUAGUAGGUUGGUCAUGCCUCUGGUAUGUACUGGUCUCACUGAUUCCUCCUUCCUGAUGAGCCGUAAUGCCAUUAAUUUGGCGUUGCGGGGAAUUUGGACUGUUACUUUGAAAAAAUUAGAGUGUUUAAAGCAAGCUAACGCUUGAAUACAUUAGCAUGGAAUAAUGAAAUAGGACGUUCGAUCCUAUUUUGUUGGUUUCUAGGAUUGACGUAAUGAUUAAUAGGGAUAGUUGGGGGCAUUAGUAUUCAAUUGUCAGAGGUGAAAUUCUUGGAUUUAUUGAAGACUAACUACUGCGAAAGCAUUUGCCAAGGAUGUUUUCAUUAAUCAAGAACGAAAGUUAGGGGAUCGAAGACGAUCAGAUACCGUCGUAGUCUUAACCAUAAACUAUGCCGACUAGGGAUCGGAUGAUGUUAAUUUUUUAAUGACUCAUUC